GGGGGAUUAGCUCAUUUGGCUAGAGCACCUGCCUUGCACGCAGGGGGUGGUGGGUUCGAAUCCCAUAUCCUCCA
This 74-nucleotide transfer RNA is filed under the name Mycoplasmopsis bovigenitalium. RNAcentral's name for it is "Mycoplasma bovigenitalium tRNA-Ala". It matches the Rfam family "tRNA". From Rfam's summary of the family: Transfer RNA (tRNA) molecules are approximately 80 nucleotides in length. Their secondary structure includes four short double-helical elements and three loops (D, anti-codon, and T loops). RNAcentral also lists the same sequence under 2 other names. Lineage: Bacteria; Bacillati; Mycoplasmatota; Mycoplasmoidales; Metamycoplasmataceae. The record is from RNAcentral.